RNAcentral lists this ribosomal RNA (512 nucleotides) under uncultured bacterium. RNAcentral describes it as "partial 16S ribosomal RNA". It matches the Rfam family "Bacterial small subunit ribosomal RNA", at positions 28 to 507 of the family's 1533-position model. The record is from RNAcentral.
GAUGAACGCUGGCGGCGUGCCUAAUACAUGCAAGUCGAACGAAACUUCUUUAUCACCGAGUGCUUGCACUCACCGAUAAAGAGUUGAGUGGCGAACGGGUGAGUAACACGUGGGCAACCUGCCCAAAAGAGGGGGAUAACACUUGGAAACAGGUGCUAAUACCGCAUAACCAUAGUUACCGCAUGGUAACUAUGUAAAAGGUGGCUAUACUACCGCUUUUGGAUGGGCCCGCGGCGCAUUAGCUAGUUGGUAGGGUAAAGGCUUACCAAGGCAAUGAUGCGUAGCCGAAUUGAGAGGUUGAUCGGCCACAUUGGGAUUGAGACACGGCCCAAACUCCUACGGGAGGCAGCAGUAGGGAAUCUUCCACAAUGGGCGAAAGCCUGAUGGAGCAACGCAGCGUGGGUGAAGAAGGUCUUCGGAUCGUAAAACCCUGUUGUUAGAGAAGAAAGUGCGUGAGAGUAACUGUUCACGUUUCGACGGUAUCUAACCAGAAAGCCACGGCUAACUACGUG